CACCCAGGUGCCCCUAGAAUUUCUAACAAGUUCCCAGGUGAUGCUGAUGCUGCUGGUCCAGGGACCUUCCUUUGAGAACCACUGUUUUAUGUGAUGAAAUAGAUUUCCAAUGCAAGAAAAACAAUAUGCAAAUGUUUGCGUGCAUGUGCAUUUUCUUCUGGGUCCCUGAGGCUAAGAACCCUUGUCUCGCUGUCAGUGCCUCUCUGGUUUCUCCAGCAGCUGCUGUGGUUCCGAGUAUGGACACAGGGUGGUGCCAUAUGCCCACAGUGUCUACCCCAGACCUUGCAGGUGGCCUGGCAGCUUUGAGAGGGAGGGUGUGCACGGGUGUCCCCAGGGCAGCAGGGACAGGUGGAGGGCAGAGAUAGGUACAUGCUGGAUGUGGCUGGAUGCAGGACACGAGGCUGAGGAUUCGGGAGACAGGGGUACUUCUGUGUUGCCUUCGGGAGCUCUUCCUGAUGCGACUUCUGUCCAGGACAGGCCAGGGACAGGCCUGGCUUGUCCUGAACCCUGGGCCUGCUCCCUCUUCAAGCCAUGGUUUCUCCUGCUGUUACAGGGGAUUCAUCCAACCCUCCAGCCCUCAGAGCCUUUUACUUUGUUGCUCAAUACGACCCCCCACUUGGCCACCACGCCCUUCUCCAUGGGUUGUCUCAUUUCCUUCCAGGUGGAAGAAGGCAGCCCAGAACACAGGGCAGUGCUCUGCAGAAGCACUGUGGCCACAGAGCAAUGAAGGUAGAGGCCAUGCCAGGCUCCCCACCUCUGGUAGCAUCUGUGUGGGGUCGGGACGGCAGGGAUUUGUGCAGGGUUUGUUUUGAACAGGUGGUUCUUGGGACUAAAAACCCAGUAAGGUUGAGGCCUGAAGCCCACCACUACAGGUGGUGGAAUCCCCGGACGCUGCGUGAACACAGAAGCGAGGGAGGCAGGUUUGUGCUCGGGAAGGCUGGGAAGGUUAGGCAUGGAGGGUAUGGAUGGAAAGGAGCUGAAGGCGAAAGCUGGUGUGGCAUAAAAGUUUGAGGACAUCUCUCUCCCUUGGAGGGCAGCCCCAGCUCCCCUGUCCCAGCCCUCACCAGGGCCUUUCUCAUCCGGUGCUGGGCUGCCAUCCUGCAGCACAGUAGCACACGCCCCCCCCCCCCCCCCGCCCUUACACCCCUGCCUCCUGAGCUGGGAAGGACGGAGAAGGCCUUCCUUACAACCACGCCUGGAUGGUUGGGGACAGCAGGUCUUUUCUGUGAAAAAAGAAACACCGUAGGCUGGAUGAUUGAUCAUCUGACCCGCAGCCUUAUUCCCGACUGGACCUAUAAUUAAAGGUUUAGGUGGAAGGGAUUACUCUAGAGGAGGGGCAGAGCCCCCCACAGCCUAAGGCUGACAUCGGGACCCAGCGCUGCUGCAGAUAACAUUCAGGACACACGCCCGCCUCCAGCCUCCAGGGACUUGGCUCCUCACUGGAAACCAAGGCACAGGGAGACAGUGGGAGGUGGGGUGGGGCGCCCAGAAAAGAGCCCCACAGUUGGAACGAGGGUGGUCUCCAGGGAAGGACAAAAGCGAAACUAGGAUCCUCAUGCGAUGUAUUCAGAUCAUCAACCCACCGUUAGGAGACAAACGGAUUGGGGUGUCGUCAUACCUGGUGAGGACGGUGACCACAGCUGAGUCUGGGGGCUGAGGGACCAAUGUGGUCAGAUGGCCUGCUGCUUCUCGGCGACUGGCCUGUGCCCACACUGAUCAGGUCUGGGCUGUGACUUUUACUGCCGUCCACAGUAAUCAAGGUCCUGCUGACAGCAGAGUAAAGCCCUGCAGUUUCCCCUCUCAAUCCAAGCCGAUGCCGGCCGUGACAUGAGAACUACACCUGUCCUCCCGACCCCAUGCAUCCAGGCCCCGCUCCCAUCCCUCCUUUCCACACCCCAACCUAUCCUUCCAACAUUGACUGAAAAUCUGCCAGGCCCCAACAGUUCCGUGAUGAGCCCAACCAAGUCCUUGCCCUUAUCGGGCUUGUACUCCAGCUACAUAAGGAGACCACCAACCAAUAAGAUGUGUCUGAGGAGAGGUCGUUUGAACAGGGCCUGACUAAUUUGGAAACAUGAGGCUGAGGCACCAGUGUGGGUGGGAGUGAGGUGUGGCUGGGACCAGGCAGGCAGUGGUCAGACCCUUUAGGCCUUGGAGGCCAUGAGAAGGAAGUGGGUGGAGUCUCUGGGGGGCGGGGGCGCUGAGCAGUGGCAGUGGCAGGUCCUGGUUGUUCCUGAAGGGCUGUCCUGGCCACUGUGUGGGACAGUCUCAGAGGACACAUUCAAGGUUGUACAGGGGGAGGGUGGGGUGUGGUGAUGUUGGUGACCUGGUGCGGAGCGUGAGCACCCGAGGGAAACAAGGGUGGUGCUCAGACAUUUGGGCUGAGCAGCUGGGAAGGGACAGGGUGGGGGACUCACUGCAGAGCCUCAGGAACCCCACCAAAGAGGGGGUAAGGGUUGGCAUCGGUACAUCCUAAAUAUCGUGACUGAUAAGCCGCCGGGGUACAAGGCCAGAUGAGGCGUGAAGGUGGGUGGAGAGACAGCGAGAGUCCUGGGGCUGUCAGGGGUCACGCAAGAUCCGGACAAGGUGGAAGGAAGAGCAGAGGCUCAGCAUCCAGCAACCUAGGAGAGAAGGGCUGGAGAGGCCGCUGGGGACUUGACCUUGGCAUGUGACCCCCUGGGGCUCAGGGCCACGGCACUCCUGGGCGACGGGAAGUGGGGUUGAGCAGCGGGUCGUAUCUGGUCACUUCUGUUCUCUCGGGAUCAGCAGCAGGGUCUCCGGUGAGGGGGGAGGGUUUGUACAGAGAGAAGGUGUGAAACAAUCUCUCAGUAGCACAGAUUUGCCAGGAGAUGUUUGCUGUGGGAAGAAACGAGUGACCCAUUCUCUGUAGAAGGGAAGAGAGGCAGGGAGGCUCUGAGCUCACACAGGGCUUGUGGGUGGGUUACAGGCCCACUACCCCAGGGUUGGUGGGCGGCGCGGACCCAGGACAUUUGGCCCUGGGAGCCUUUAUCUGCAUGUGGGCCAGGAGGCAAGGGCCUGAGUGUUGCCCACCCCCCGCCCCCACGCCACCUCCCCGUCCCCGAACUGGCGUGCACAAAGUAUCUGCUGAUCUACCGUGUGCCAUGACUAGUGCAAUGAUGGUGCAAUGGUGACUGUCUAGUCUCGGAACAAAGCUGUCAGCAUUAGUGACAACGCCAUUGACAUCAGCAGCCAGGCUGCUCUGACCCACCAGUGCCGCGCGCAGGUGGAGCGGGGCUGCGUCGGUCACGGACGAGGAGGCUGGGCAGCUCUGCCGGGAACUCCCAAGUUAAGAGAACUUAAAAAUAGCUCUAUGCACCGUCCUGCCAGCGGACACCCCAGAUAUUUAAGGCUCACUCUGAAAUGAUGUCACUUUUCCAUUCUUGCGCUCCCAAAUUCCCUGACUUCCCUGGCCCUGCUUCUCUGAGCGCCUUUCUCAGAGGAAUGAAGGCCUUCUCCAGGUGAUGUCUGCCUGCGCUACACAGGGCCCGAAGACCUCGGGGGCCACGGCAGGGGCAGUGCUGGCAGCUGCCGGUCUGCGCGCUGGCUCUCCCCACUUCUGAGCGGGCGUGCUUUCUGCCAAAGCACCACGACGGGAGGGGACAGCUGCAGUGCUCCCUGCCCCCUCCCCCGGAGCUAUAAAAAGCCCCAACACCCAAGUGAGCAGAGGACACGCCAAGCAGACGUGCAGAACUUUGCUGGACUCACGAGGAGCUCGGCUCAACGGCCAUGCUGAGGUUAGCCUCUGCCAGCAGGCUGCUGCCGGCCCCCCGGAGCGGCUGGGUGCUUCCCAAGGCACACGUCUCCGCCAAGCCAGCCAGAACACCCACUUCUCCCAUGGAGCAAGCCAUCGGGCUCUCGGUGAUGUUCCUCAGCUUCCUGAUUCCUGCAGGCUGGGUCUUACACCACCUGGAGAGCUACAAGAGAAGCUCGGCAGCAUGAAGGCUCUGUGGUUCCAGCUCCAGGCACAGGAUGAAAGAUCGCAUUAAACCCUUCCCUUCA
Leopardus geoffroyi (Geoffroy's cat) is the source of this 4017-nucleotide long non-coding RNA. RefSeq lists it as uncharacterized. The record is from RefSeq and is a predicted model, not a curated record. The transcript has 2 exons. NCBI's taxonomy places the organism in Eukaryota, Metazoa, Chordata, Mammalia, Carnivora, Felidae.